CGGUGGCUGCGGUGUGCGACCGGUCUUUUCAUCCCUGGGGCCAACAGUGAUCUCGCCGGGAGCCGUCCCUGCCGAACCCGUGGGUUCGGCACAUGGCGCCCACCUGCUGAUGCAGGCCACAGAGGAUCACAUGACCGUCGGCUCUCGCGGCGCCGUC
Molecule: non-coding RNA, 157 nt
Filed under: Rhodospirillales bacterium
Lineage: Bacteria; Pseudomonadati; Pseudomonadota; Alphaproteobacteria; Rhodospirillales
Description: 6S RNA
Rfam family: 6S / SsrS RNA
About the family: E. coli 6S RNA was the first non coding RNA to be sequenced, but its function was unknown until recently. It consists of 184 nucleotides that fold into an extended hairpin structure with a large single-stranded internal bulge.
Source: RNAcentral